GUCCGCGCCGUAAACGAUGUGUGCUAGAUGUUCGUUUUUCCUACGGGGAAAUGAGCGUCGAAGCUAACGCGAUAAGCACACCGCCUGAUGAGUACGGUCGCAAGGCUAAAACUCAAAGGAAUUGACGGGGCCCCCGCACAAGCAGCGGAGCGUGUGGUUUAAUUCGAGGCUACACGAAGAACCUUACCUAGACUUUACAUCCCGGGAACCCACGUGAAAGCGUGGUGCCGAAAGGCCGAGGAGACAUGUGCUGCAUGGCUGUCGU
RNAcentral lists this ribosomal RNA (265 nucleotides) under uncultured bacterium. RNAcentral describes it as "partial 16S ribosomal RNA". It matches the Rfam family "Bacterial small subunit ribosomal RNA", at positions 793 to 1055 of the family's 1533-position model. The record is from RNAcentral.